AAAAUGCGAUAUUUGGUGUGAAUUGCAGAAUCCCGUGAACCAUCGAGUCUUUGAACGCAAGUUGCGCCCGAAGCCAUUAGGCCGAGGGCACGCCUGCCUGGGUGUCACACAUCGUUACCCCAACGCAAACAUGUAACAAUGUUGCUGCACGGGGGGUAUGCUGACCUCCCGCGAGCACCCGCCUCGUGGUUGGUUGAAAUCUGGGUUCAUGGCCGACUUCGCCGUGAUAAAAUGGUGGAUGAGCUACGCUCGAGACCAAUCACGUGGGAGCCGGUCAGUCCUGGACCCAUUGACAACCCUUUGCGUGCACGCACACUCCCAACGAAACCUCAGGUCAGGCGGGGCUACCCGCUGAGUUUAA
RNAcentral lists this unclassified non-coding RNA (361 nucleotides) under uncultured fungus. RNAcentral describes it as "sequence contains ITS1". The stretch from base 1 to 107 matches the Rfam family "5.8S ribosomal RNA", at positions 50 to 154 of the family's 154-position model. Lineage: Eukaryota; Fungi. The record is from RNAcentral.